RNAcentral lists this long non-coding RNA (533 nucleotides) under Populus trichocarpa (black cottonwood). RNAcentral describes it as "long non-coding RNA (PTRI_LNC004790)". Lineage: Eukaryota; Viridiplantae; Streptophyta; Magnoliopsida; Malpighiales; Salicaceae. The record is from RNAcentral.
UAUUUUGACUUGAGUUCUGAAUAGAUAGCUCCUCAUUUGAUUGAUGUCAUGAGUUGAGCCUUGAGAUAUGAAUAUGUCUGUUUGAUUAUGAUUAUGAACCUAUGGUAUGUCAGUUAGAAUACCCAUGCUAACAGGGUAGUGUUAGUCUUUGUGCACAUCGUAUCUGAACCCUAGUUGGUCGGGGGAGUCACCAACCUGUGUGGACUGAUCAUCCCACAGUACGGAGCCUCAUGCUCAUUGCAUUUUGAUUUUCUGACGAGUUUUACCAUAUGAUCUUCUUGUUAUGGCCAAUUUGAGAACACUUCCAUAAGAACCUAAAGCCAUACUUGUAUAUAUAUUUCUCAUUGUUAUAUUACCUCGUGUGUGUAUAUUGAACGUUAUCUAUUCACUGAGUUGUUGAACUCACCAUCUCAUUAUUUAUCUUUUCAGGCUUAUAGCUUGAUAGCAGGUCAUUUUGUUGGACCUUCAGAACAUGCUUUUUGGUUGUACUUUGUACCUUUUCUUUAUGUCUAGUUAGUGCUCCAAAACUCUGA